Non-coding RNA from Pelobates cultripes (western spadefoot toad), 571 nucleotides. The record is from the annotation of a GenBank genome assembly. Lineage: Eukaryota; Metazoa; Chordata; Amphibia; Anura; Pelobatidae.
GCUCAUUCCACAAGCCCCUGGCCAGACACCAGAUAAGCAUUAAACAAUAUCUGGAUACUUUGCCUGUUUAACAAUUCUCACCACAUUCCAAUCUAUCUAGAAUACAAUAAAAUGGUUUGAGAUUCUCUUCUAAAAUAUACAAGUGCAAUGAAUGGGUGUUUACUAAUCCGAUAUUAGAAUUGCUAACCAUAUGAAAGCAGUUCUAUCACAUAUAUAUAUUCUGCUGUCUGGUUCCAACCAAGCUUUCCUUGUCCCCAACUCAACCAUCAGAGGAAUUUUGCUUGCAUGUUUUGUUUCAAGUCUCUGAUCUUUAGGCAAUAUCAUGGCCUUUUUUUAUGGUCCUUCUCUCAAUCUGUCCCAAUUAAGCUAGGAACUACUAUUCUUCUUUCAGGUCCAAAAUACUCCAGUAGAAGGCUACUUUACUGUUGUCUCACCCCAACCAAAUUAUCUUUCCCACCACCUCUACCAUGAGAGGAACCAUCCAUGGAUCAAACACAUGUUCUCUUAUAAGUAAACCUUAAAAAGACCAGGAUAUUCCUAGCAAUCUAUCUUUUCCUCCAAGACAAGACCC